CAAUAGCGUAUAUUUAAGUUGUUGCAGUUAAAAAGCUCGUAGUUGGAUUUCGGGUGGGACGCAGCGGUCUCGCAUUGCGUUUGUACUGCUGCAGCCCUCCUUCUUGCCGGGGGCGGCCUCUCGGACUUCACUGUCUGGGGGUCAGAAUCGGCGAUGUUACUUUGAGUAAAUUAGAGUGUUCAAAGCAAGCUUACGCUCUGAAUAUAAUAGCAUGGGAUAACACGACAGGACUCUGGCCUAUCGUGUUGGUCUAUAGGACCAGAGUAAUGACUAAGAGGGACAGUCGGGGGCAUUCGUAUUCCGUUGUCAGAGGUGAAAUUCUUGGAUUUACGGAAGACGAACAUCUGCGAAAGCAUUUGCCAAGGAUGUUUUCAUUGA
RNAcentral lists this ribosomal RNA (378 nucleotides) under uncultured eukaryote. Its description in RNAcentral is "partial 18S ribosomal RNA". It matches the Rfam family "Eukaryotic small subunit ribosomal RNA", at positions 592 to 976 of the family's 1831-position model. The record is from RNAcentral.